GGAGGGUCUUCCAACGGCGGCGACCUUCGCCUGGACAGCGGUAUCCUGCGGGCGACCAUGGGCCGAACGGCCGGGACUCCAAGCUUACCUCGGACACGAACGCCGCGCCAGUCUCCAAGCCAAGCUAUACAAGAAGAAGCAUGGCACCAGCAUCUGCUUCUGGUGAGCAGCUCAGGCUGCUUCCAUUCCUGGUGGAAGGGAAAGGGGAGCUGACUUGUGCAGAGAUCACUUCCAAGAGGGAAAUCAAGAGAGAGAGGUAGGAGGUGCCAGGCUCUUUUUAACGUCCAGUUAUCUUGGGAGCUAAUAGAGUAAGAACUCACUGAUACCUACUACCCCCAUCCUCCAUCUCUUCGUGAAGAGUCUGCCCCCAUGAUCCAUACACCUCCCAUUAGGCCCCCCCUUUAACACUGAGGAUCACAUUUCAACCUGAGAUUUGGAGGGGCCAAACAAACCAUAUCCAAACUAUAGAAGUGGCAAAUUGACAACAUCUACUUAUUCGUUCAAAAGAAAUAGGGUGAAAACAUGAGAUGAUCCAUGGAUGUUUCAGCUUUUCUGUGACUGACCCUGCAUACUGAAAAGCAAUAAAUUCCUUGCUAACUUAAAUAAAGUAAUGGCAGAUAUGCCUAAGGCCACAAAUCUA
Molecule: long non-coding RNA, 640 nt
Organism: Homo sapiens (human)
Lineage: Eukaryota; Metazoa; Chordata; Mammalia; Primates; Hominidae
Source: Ensembl